CCCCCAUGAAGACCUUCAAGUAGUUCAGCCUACUGCUGAAUCUGGACGUCCCGAUUCCCCCCUCCUAUUGGCUUCUUGUGGUUCAGCCCAGUGCUUCUCGACCUGGUACAUUCUGGUUCCCCGCUCGCAGACUUCCGACGGUAGAGCUCAGCGCGGCGCAGCCCCCGCCCCUUCCAUCCUAUACUGACGCCCCCUGCCGUUCUCUGUCUUACAGUGGAUGGUGUCCCCCAUGGUCGCUGAGACUCCCCUUCGAGGAUUGCACCCGCCCGUCCUAAGCCUCCCCACAAGGCGAGGGGAGUUACCCCUAAAACAAAGCUAUUAAAGGGACAGAAUACUUCCUGUU
Molecule: small RNA, 343 nt
Filed under: Pan troglodytes (chimpanzee)
Lineage: Eukaryota; Metazoa; Chordata; Mammalia; Primates; Hominidae
Description: retained intron
Source: RNAcentral